Molecule: ribosomal RNA, 460 nt
Filed under: uncultured bacterium
Lineage: Bacteria
Description: partial 16S ribosomal RNA
Rfam family: Bacterial small subunit ribosomal RNA
Source: RNAcentral
CCUACGGGAGGCAGCAGUGAGGAAUAUUGGUCAAUGGACGAGAGUCUGAACCAGCCAAGUAGCGUGAAGGCUGACUGCCCUAUGGGUUGUAAACUUCUUUUAUAUGGGAAUAAAAUGUUCCACGUGUGGGAUUUUGUAUGUACCAUAUGAAUAAGGAUCGGCUAACUCCGUGCCAGCAGCCGCGGUAAUACGGAGGAUCCGAGCGUUAUCCGGAUUUAUUGGGUUUAAAGGGAGCGUAGGUGGAUUGUUAAGUCAGUUGUGAAAGUUUGCGGCUCAACCGUAAAAUUGCAGUUGAAACUGGCAGUCUUGAGUACAGUAGAGGUGGGCGGAAUUCGUGGUGUAGCGGUGAAAUGCUUAGAUAUCACGAAGAACUCCGAUUGCGAAGGCAGUUCACUGGACUGCAACUGACACUGAGGCUCGAAAGUGUGGGUAUCAAACAGGAGUAGAUACCCUAGUAGUC